ACGGCUUUGAAAUCUGAGCAGUGAGAAAUGGGAAAGGGUGUGAUAUGGGCAACGGCAGAGGACUUGGCAAGAAACAGAGGACGCGUUCUCUCACUGUAUCGCCAAAUUCUGAGAAGCCUCAACUCACCGGAUUUGCCUCUGAAUUUGGCAGCAAGGCUGGCCAAGAAAGCUGAGGCGCGCGCAAUCUUCAUGGUGGCGUCUGAGGAGAGGUCCCUGCACAACAUUGAUGACCUCAUUGAUGCUGCUCACUACUCUCUUUCCCUCUUAAGGAAAGGAGAAAUACCCAAGUACAUCCAAUGAGCCUAUCUUUAGGAAGUGAAGAUAUUUUUCGCUUCUCAGUUGCUCUCCCUUUUACGCAGAUUACCGAACUGAAAUUGUAAAAUGUAUGUGCACGACAAUGCGAAAUGGAAUCUUGUUGUGCGUUUAAUUCCUUUCAUACUCGUAUAACUUGUAAUCUAUGCUACAUUUUCAUAAAAUGUGCCAAGAUAGUUCUUCUGUUAAUAAGAUUGAUUAAUUAGAUUGGGUUUGCUCUAUGUUAAA
This is a long non-coding RNA of Prunus dulcis (almond), 540 nucleotides long. RefSeq lists it as uncharacterized. NCBI's taxonomy places the organism in Eukaryota, Viridiplantae, Streptophyta, Magnoliopsida, Rosales, Rosaceae. The record is from RefSeq and is a predicted model, not a curated record. The transcript has 2 exons.